UAUGCAUAUUUAAUAUUUAUCUUGGAUCAAUCUUUAUUAUCAUCGAUGUUGUACAAAGACUCAAAGCUCUAUUUUCACACACUAUUCGGAUAUCGAUCAGUGAUGACCGAAAGUAAAAUUACAGGUUUUAUACGGUAAUGUAAGUCAAUCUAUUUGUAUUUAUCUAUAUGAUUUAGUUUUAUGGAUGAUUAUGGAUGAAAUAGGUAUAGGGUAAUGAUUUGAUUGGGAGGUUAAAAAAACCCUAAAUUUUGAGAUGAUACUCGUAUAAAUUUUGCGAAGUAGCUGCUAUCGGUGACAUAGACGCUGAUAAAAGGGAUAUAGUAUUGGAAACACUAAUUUAGAACUUUGACUGAUGCGGUUGAUAAGGUAUGGUAACCUCUUUCGCAUAUAUUGUUUUACUAACCCUGUUGACUUAAUUACUCUUAAAAAUAACCAACUUUUAGCACCUUAAAGUCCAAAAUAUUCCUGGCGGCAGUAUCAAUUAUGUAGCCUAAUGCGGCAGUAUCAAUUACGUAGCACCUUUAAGCAAGGCUAUUUAAUUGAAGAAUUCUUCAACCAUACGUUUUAAACAUUUGUUGCUUAUAUACUGGAGAACGAAGGUACGUUCCUGUUGACAUGAUUCUGGCUAUGGACUUUGAUUCUCUACAUUCUUUUGAUGCCAUUGGUGAGGUAAUCCAUUGUCAAAUACCGAUCUUAUGAUUGUCAAAGAAAGAGAAGUACGUUUCAAAGUCGUGUUGUUUCAUACUGAAGACAACUGCUAUGAAGAUUGACACUGAAAAUGGUUGGUUCUACCAUGCUUGUAGCAAAUGCUCAAAGAAGUUUAACCGUCAACUGGAGGACGAUACCGAAUCUCACACAAAUGCAAGGUUUGUAUGUGGUAAAUGUGGUGUGGUAACCGAUAUGUACCCUAAAAUUCAAGUUCGGGUUUGUGUUCAAGAUGAUACGGGAUGCAUCUUAUGUGUUAUAUUUGAGAGUCAUGUAACACGUUAUGUCAACAAGCCGGCUUUCGUGCUGGUGAAUAAUGCUAUCAAUGGUGAACACUCUCAGAUAUACCCAGCUGAAUUUAACUUUUUCUUUGUCGGCAAGAGCCAAGAGGUUUGCUUGGAGAAUCAAGGUAUCAAGAUACAACAUCGAGAACAACUCCGAUGCACACACGGUGAAUAAGUUCUCUGGUGAUGAUAAUGUUAUUAAGGCUAUCCUUAAAAAGGCAGCCAAACGUAAGACGAUCCAUCUAAUGUUGAUCACUAAGUAUUGAAUGAACAACCAUGUCAUACUGGCCUUGUUGUAAAGGAUAUUAUGUUGAAGCAAUUAAAAGUAAUGCCUCAAGUGCAAGUUCAAAGAAAGUGACUGAAUGUGAUGAUAUAGACCUAGAUGUUCAUAAAAUGGAAAUCCCAAAGCUAGAGAAGUUUUAAAUACUUCUCAUUACCACAAAUAUCAUGUUUCAUGUUUUCAUGUUUAAUUGAGAAUUUUUAUAUGUUUUGACUUUACAUGUCAGGGUGAGAUUGUUUGGCUAUUGUUAUUUUUUUUCAUUCUUUGUUGUUUUUGAUGAAUCUUCAAACG
Molecule: long non-coding RNA, 1560 nt
Organism: Erigeron canadensis
Lineage: Eukaryota; Viridiplantae; Streptophyta; Magnoliopsida; Asterales; Asteraceae
Exons: 7
Source: RefSeq, a predicted model, not a curated record